Molecule: ribosomal RNA, 577 nt
Filed under: Cryptosporidium bovis
Lineage: Eukaryota; Apicomplexa; Conoidasida; Eucoccidiorida; Cryptosporidiidae
Description: SSU rRNA
Rfam family: Eukaryotic small subunit ribosomal RNA
Source: RNAcentral
CACGUACCUUCGGCUUUGUAUUGGAUGAGUUAAGUAUAAACCCCUUAACAAGUAUCAAUUGGAGGGCAAGUCUGGUGCCAGCAGCCGCGGUAAUUCCAGCUCCAAUAGCGUAUAUUAAAGUUGUUGCAGUUAAAAAGCUCGUAGUUAAUCUUCUGUUAAUUUUUAUAUAUAAUAUCACGAUAUUUAUAUAAUAUUAACAUAAUUCAUAUUACUUUUUAGUAUAUGAAACUUUACUUUGAGAAAAUUAGAGUGCUUAAAGCAGGCUAUUGCCUUGAAUACUCCAGCAUGGAAUAAUAUUAAGGAUUUUUAUUCUUCUUAUUGGUUCUAGAAUAAAAAUGAUGAUUAAUAGGGACAGUUGGGGGCAUUUGUAUUUAACAGUCAGAGGUGAAAUUCUUAGAUUUGUUAAAGACAAACUACUGCGAAAGCAUUUGCCAAGGAUGUUUUCAUUAAUCAAGAACGAAAGUUAGGGGAUCGAAGACGAUCAGAUACCGUCGUAGUCUUAACCAUAAACUAUGCCAACUAGAGAUUGGAGGUGCCCUACCCCCCCUAAAAAGGGCGGCCGACAGAGAUUUUCAAC